Long non-coding RNA from Panthera uncia (snow leopard), 4307 nucleotides. RefSeq lists it as uncharacterized. The transcript is spliced from 2 exons. The record is from RefSeq and is a predicted model, not a curated record. Lineage: Eukaryota; Metazoa; Chordata; Mammalia; Carnivora; Felidae.
UCUUACAUAUUUGGCAUCCUGGGAGCUCACUUAACUUCUUUCCUAUGUUGAAUUGCCUGCUUCUGGAUCCAAUACUGUCUUCUUUCUUGGCUUUCUUCAUUAUGUUACUGGAGCAUAACCUCCUAUAGCUUUCUGAGUAAAGGUCAAAGGGACAUAGUUUUAAAAUUCUAUCCAUGUCUAAAAAUGCACAUAUUCUGCCCUUGAAGUUGAUUGAUACUUUGGCUGGGUAUAGAAUUCUUAGAUUAUAAACCAUUCUGAAAACAGAAUGUCUGCCAUUAUUUCCUUUCAAAAUCCGUGGCUCCUUCAAAAAUCCAUGCGAUCUAUUUUCAAUAGAAAGUUUUAGAAUCUUUAUUUAUCCUGCAUAGUCUCAAAUUUAAGGAAGGAUCUAUUUUCACGAUCUCUACCCCUGCCCUUGGAGCUGCUUAACCUAAAGAUUUAGUUAUAGGAAGUUUUAUUAUUCAUUUGAAAAUUUGCUGCUUUCAUUUUAUUUGUUUUCUCUUACUAUAAUUUCUUUUCUAGAAGAGAAAUGGAGAAAUGGAAAUCUUGACUGAUAUUUUUUUCACUUUACUGAACUUUUCUCUAAUCUUCCAUUCUCUUUAUUUCCCGACAAAUUUCCUAGAGCUGCCCUCCAAACUUGUCUUUUUGUUUAUUUGGUUUUUGGUUUUCAUAACUUUUCUUUUUUGAAAUUCCUAAGAGCUCUUUCUCUUCUCCAAAUGUUCCCUUUUUUUUAGGUCAGUAUCCUGUUUUUGUUUCAGGGAUAUAUUUCUGAGGAUUUGUUUUUGUUUUUGAAGUAUUUUUAGUUUUCUGCAUUGAUCUCUUUCCUUGGAUUUGUUUUCCUUCUCUCUCCCCACCCUACCCCUUUCCUGUUUGUUUGCUUAGGUUUGUUUUUCAUGCAGGAAUUUUCUUGAAAGGUUUGGUAUUCCUAGGUACUUUACAGCAGUGAGGCACUAAACUGCCUCCUCUCUCUGCCUCCUCUCCAGGCAGUUCUCUGGGUUAGAGUUGGGUUUUGGAGAGCAUAGAGAUGGCAUAAUCCAGCUGUUCUGCUCAUCAUGCCUGCUUCCUGUACAACCAUGAGUUAUGUGACUAGACUUCCACUGGACUCUUCCUAUUCCUCUCCCAGGACCAGUUCACAGGUCCAGUCCUCCAUGUGCAGAGUGAAAGGUUAUCACCUGAACAUCUCCGGAUCGUACAUUUACACACACACAUCUGAGCCUGGUUGAAAUAAUGCUUCCAGCUCCCUUUCAGAGAAGUGCACUUAUCACAUAUUUGGCAGAUAUUCUUCCACAUCUGUGGAGUUGUUGCCCAGUUUCUUCAUUAGAUUUUGUUAUUGUGGUUUCAUUCUUUUGGGGUCUCAGGGACCAGAAUGAAGAAGAUGGGUCUUUUCCUCGAAGUUUCUGAAAAUUUCUCUCACAGCCAGGUUGCUCUCGGCAUUUUUCAGAAGUUCUGAGUCAUUUCUAGUUUUUACCCUCAUUUAUUUCAAAUAACAACUUUUGGGGUGCCUCGGUGGCUCAGUCGGUUAAGCAUCCUACUUCAGCUCAGGUCAUGAUCUCCUGGUUCGUGGGUUCGAGCCCCACGUCAGGCUCUGUGCUGGCAGCUUGGAGCCUAGAGCCUGCUUCGGAUUCUGUGUCUCCCUCUCUGUUUUCCCCUCCCCUGCUCGUGCUCUGUCUCUCUCUCUCAAAAAUAAACAUUUAAAAAAUAAAAUAACAACUUUUGAGGGGCACCUGGGUGACUCAGUUGGUUAAGCAUUCGACUCUCAGUUUCAGCUCAGGUCAUGAUCUCAUGGUUGUGUGAGUUCAAGCCCUGCAUCAGGCUCUGCGCUGGCCAUGUGGAGCCUGCUUGGGACUCUCUCUCUCUCUCCCUCUCUUUCUGCCCUCCCCUACGCACGCUGUAUCUCUCUCAAAAUAAAUAAACUUAAAAAAAAUGUUUUUAAAUAACAACUUUUGACACCUACUAAGCAUAGAACAUGAAGGUAAUUCUUACAAGUGCUUAUAUUACCUGGCUGUCCUUGAUUAUGUGAUUUUCUUCACAUUUCCCCCCCUCCCUGCCCCUGUUUUUCUCUCUUCAAAAGUUUAAACCAUGGGAAAGCUUCCUUUGCAGCCCCAAGCAUUUUGAAUUUUUUUUUUUUUUUACUUUCCUCAACAUUAGAAUUAUUGGUCCAAAUCAUAUCUUUGAGACUGUAUCAAUCUUUUACGGUCUGUGUCACCUGUACGGAUAGGUGCUAUGGAAUUACAUAGUAAAGCCACGUGAGAAGUGGAUUUAUGAAAAUGCGCUCCUAGAUGCCCAGCCAGAAAAAAGGAGAAAAAGUACGAAGAGAGAAAAGAAAGAGGAGAUUAGUGAUGCAAAAGGCUCCAGGGUGCCUUUUCUCUAGUGACAGCAUGCAGUGAAAUAACAUUGAGUCAGAGAAAGUUACUCAGCCUCAGUUCCUGCGUGUCUCAGCUAGUGUGAGUGCUUACAGUGCCGAGUGUGAACCUGGUGUUGAGGGAUACUAAUUCUUUGUUCACCUAGGCCCCUCUUGCAAACCCAGACCCAAACCCAGCUUCAUCCCGUACUCACCAAAUGAACCAUGACCUUUCCUACCACCAAGGAAAAAGCGGUCUGGAUCAGACAUAUGGCGGGGCAAAAUGCUGGCCACCAGUGGAUAUCUUCAAAAUACACUUUUAAGGGUAAUUUAGACUAUAUGUGAUUUCCACCUUGCACCCUGAUCCUAAUUGUUACGAAAUUACAUUUCCAAAGUCAGCGGAAAUACAUAUUUAUAAGACCUGCGCUCCUUUCUGUUAUCACGGUUAUCAGGAGCACAUGGUCACUGUCAUCCUAAAUUCCUUCCCCUCUCAGUUUCUGAACCUCCACUGGGUAGUUCAGGGUUAGACCAGGAGCAGCAGUUCUUUAAGCUGGUAUUCAGUUUUCAAGAUGAAAAUGGUGGUAGGGUGGAGGGGACGGACUGGCCAAUUCCAGAUGCUCUUCUCAGAGGUUAGAAACUUACAAGACUUAAGAAAGGUGCUAGCACCUUCUUAAGGGUGAUAGCACAGCCUCUUAAUAUCCCUUCUUAAAGGGAUAGCACAGCUUCUAAUCAGUUGGAUAAGAUGAUCAGCCACAGCAGACAUCGGCCAUAAACCUGCAGCUCACAUCCCUCCCUAAUGGUGGAACUCUUACUGCCUCACUCUGCUUCUGGAACUUUCGAGAUCUGUGGUAUCCUUUCACCUUAUCCGGUCCAGUUCAACAAUAGAAGGAGUCCUGAUCCCGUUUCCUUUUACCUGUACUCAAGUGCUGUUGUUUCCAGCACACUCGUACCUGGGAGUUUAUAAAUUUUCUAACACAUUUAUAUUGUCUGGAUACCUGAAGAGUUACUUCACCUCGGAGGUUUGAAAUCAGAUGCAUGCUUUCAAGGCUGUGUGCCAAGCAUAAGGCCUCUCCGGCUGAGUCUCCAUGGUAACACAGUGAGAGAGUCUGGUGAUUGUGUGUCUGUGACCACAGGCAUGGAUUUUCCCAUGUGAAUGACUGGUGUUUGCUCAUGUGCUGCUCUUUCCAGGUCUUUCCUCGGGUCUUUCAAAGUUGUCUGCUUUCUUCGUGAUACUAAUUUAGCCUUCCAUCCCAUCCCAAACACCUCCUUUCUUUCACUGUAGAAUAACCUGGUUUUGUGUGAGUUUAAUGUUUCAGUAGUAUCUAAAGGUGUUUGUGUUGGACGUGUCUCUGAUCUCACUUGGUUAUUAGCUUCAGAAGAGUUAUUUUACUUACUUCAUGAUACCUGGAAUGUAUUUUUCUGUACAAAGUGGGACAUUGAUACUCUAUUGUUAUUUUUUGGUCUGCCUGCCCAAUUUAGCAAUGAGGCCAUAUUGCAAGUGUUUCAUAAAAACAUUUCAUCAAAAAUGUUUUAAAAUCAUUCAGCAAAUUUUUUUAUCAGGAUAAAGAGCAAAAGAGAAGAAAAGUCUCCUUUAGAGUAAAAUAUUGAAGCUUUCUAUCCUGACACUUUACAACCCAUCCUCAGGUUUUCAUUGGUGUAGUGAACGCUUUUUUUGUUGAAAGGAUAAUUUGUAAUACUCUGUGCACCUUCCCUAUUACUGGCAUUGCACAUGAUACAAAAUGCUGGGGGUUUAAAAAACGGGGUAUGGUGGACACCUAUUGUUUUUCAAAGCUUGUUAUUAUAAAGCAUAAUUGAGCACUUUAUGGUUUUCCAAGGACAGAUCUUUUGAGCCACCCCGCAUGUAUGAGGGUGAAUUUCUUGUACCCACCAGUAAAUCGUUCAGGAUGUGAAUACUGAUUUUUUUUAGGCAGAAGUAAACGUUGCUUUUAAAAAGUGCCAGGACCUUGUU